UAGAGUUUGAUCCUGGCUCAGGAUGAACGCUGGCGGCGUGCCUAACACAUGCAAGUCGAGCGAGAUUUAGUGGAGUGGAGACUUCGGUUGAAGCGAAGCUAAUGAAAGCGGCGGACGGGUGAGUAACGCGUGGGCAACCUGCCCCAUACAAAGGGAUAGCCACUGGAAACGGUGAUUAAUACCUUAUAAGUCGGUAGUCUCGCAUGAGACAGCCGACAAAGAUUUAUCGGUAUGGGAUGGGCCCGCGUUUGAUUAGCUAGUUGGUGAGGUAACGGCUCACCAAGGCGACGAUCAAUAGCCGACCUGAGAGGGUGAUCGGCCACACUGGAACUGAGACACGGUCCAGACUCCUACGGGAGGCAGCAGUGGGGAAUAUUGCACAAUGGGCGCAAGCCUGAUGCACAACGCCGCGUGAGUGAUGAAGGCCUUCGGGUCGUAAACUCUGUCC
RNAcentral lists this ribosomal RNA (448 nucleotides) under uncultured bacterium. RNAcentral describes it as "bacterial SSU rRNA". It matches the Rfam family "Bacterial small subunit ribosomal RNA", at positions 1 to 438 of the family's 1533-position model. The record is from RNAcentral.